RNAcentral lists this long non-coding RNA (221 nucleotides) under Elaeis guineensis (African oil palm). Its description in RNAcentral is "long non-coding RNA (EGUI_LNC066030)". The record is from RNAcentral. Lineage: Eukaryota; Viridiplantae; Streptophyta; Magnoliopsida; Arecales; Arecaceae.
GGGGAGUUUGGACACGCUUGUGUCCAGGGGAAGUUUGAGAAUGUGGCUGAGCUUCAAUUGGCCCUUUUUCAGCUGCGGGCUUGCUGGAGUCGCCCGCCUGUCAUUUUUUCGUGGCCUCCUCAUCCUUCAGCUUGAAAGCUUCCUCUGGUCGGGCAUAUCCUUCGGCCCGAGCCAGCAAAUCAGCGAAGUCCCUAAGAUACUUUUUUUCUAAGGAAAAUAGA